This 275-nucleotide small nuclear RNA is filed under the name Jaculus jaculus (lesser Egyptian jerboa). RNAcentral describes it as "7SK RNA (ENSJJAG00000003256.1)". The stretch from base 1 to 217 matches the Rfam family "7SK RNA", at positions 56 to 331 of the family's 331-position model. Rfam says of the family: 7SK was discovered as an abundant small nuclear RNA in the mid-70s but a possible function has only recently been suggested. Two independent studies have found that 7SK RNA binds the CDK9/cyclin T complex (known as elongation factor P-TEFb). P-TEFb activates transcription by phosphorylating the C-terminal domain of RNA polymerase II. The record is from RNAcentral. Lineage: Eukaryota; Metazoa; Chordata; Mammalia; Rodentia; Dipodidae.
GCAAUGAGGACCGGACUGCAACAGUGGGUGUCCCCUUCCUCCCUCACUGCUCCAUGUGUGUCCCGCCUGAAGCUGCAUGCUCAGUAGGUUGAAGAGGACAACCUCCUCCAAAUAGAGGAGGAUCAGUCUUCCGUCAAGGGUAUAUGCGUAGCUGCACUCCCCCGCUAAAACCUCCAAACAAGCUCUCAAGAUGCCAGGCUGGGUAGAUCCCCUGUUGAGUUUGGGCUGGAUGGUAAGGGAGAGGGGAAUGGGAAGGGAGCUCUGAGACUCUAACA